GAUGAACGCUGGCGGUGUGCCUAACACAUGCAAGUCGAGCGAACACACAAUAAGCUUUUGCCCUUGCCGGUGGCGAGUGGCGGGCGAGUAACACAUAGAUAACCUUCUAAUUAUUCGUGGAGGAUAACGUGAAACCACAUACGAUACUACAGAAUAUGUCCUACCGCAUGGAGCAGUAGUGAUUCACGGCUUGCCCGUCUCUAUUAGCCGAUGUCGCGCCGCAUUAGCUAGUUGGUAAGGUAACGGCUUACCAAGGCGACGAUGCGUAGCCGAUCUGAGAGGAUGAUCAGCCACACUGGAACUGAGACACGGUCCAGACUCCUACGGGAGGCAGCAGUGGGGAAUAUUCGGCAAUGGGCGAAAGCCUGACGGAGCAACACCGCGUGGGUGAUGAAGGUCUUCGGAUCGUAAAGCUCUGUUAUUGGGGAAGAAAAGCUGUAGAAGUAAAUACGCACGUCUUGACGGUACCUAAACAGAAAGCCACGGCUAACUUCGUG
Molecule: ribosomal RNA, 497 nt
Filed under: uncultured bacterium
Lineage: Bacteria
Description: partial 16S ribosomal RNA
Rfam family: Bacterial small subunit ribosomal RNA
Source: RNAcentral